This 104-nucleotide microRNA precursor is filed under the name Notamacropus eugenii (tammar wallaby). Its description in RNAcentral is "miRNA (ENSMEUG00000017690.1)". The record is from RNAcentral. Lineage: Eukaryota; Metazoa; Chordata; Mammalia; Diprotodontia; Macropodidae.
UAUAUAGUGUGUGUGGAUACAUAUGCACACGUGUAUACAUACGUGCAUAUAUACACAUGCAUAUAUACAUACAUAUAUAUAUGUGAAUUCACAUAACUUUUUCA